This 253-nucleotide ribosomal RNA is filed under the name uncultured Pseudomonadaceae bacterium. RNAcentral describes it as "partial 16S ribosomal RNA". It matches the Rfam family "Bacterial small subunit ribosomal RNA", at positions 524 to 776 of the family's 1533-position model. The record is from RNAcentral. Lineage: Bacteria; Pseudomonadati; Pseudomonadota; Gammaproteobacteria; Pseudomonadales; Pseudomonadaceae.
UACGAAGGGUGCAAGCGUUAAUCGGAAUUACUGGGCGUAAAGCGCGCGUAGGUGGUUUGAUAAGUUGGAUGUGAAAGCCCCGGGCUCAACCUGGGAAUUGCAUCCAAAACUGUCUGACUAGAGUACGGUAGAGGGUAGUGGAAUUUCCUGUGUAGCGGUGAAAUGCGUAGAUAUAGGAAGGAACACCAGUGGCGAAGGCGACCACCUGGGCUAAUACUGACACUGAGGUGCGAAAGCGUGGGGAGCAAACAGG